Molecule: long non-coding RNA, 363 nt
Filed under: Lathyrus oleraceus (garden pea)
Lineage: Eukaryota; Viridiplantae; Streptophyta; Magnoliopsida; Fabales; Fabaceae
Description: Pisum sativum (pea) long non-coding RNA (PSAT_LNC000208)
Source: RNAcentral
UCUAAACCCAUUGAACAUAAUGAUCCAACGCCAUCUCCCAAUCUUGAGUUCCUUGUAUUUGAGGCAGAGGAAGAUGAUGUUGAAGGGGAUUCCUGACGAGAUUACCCAUCUCCUUGAGCACGAAAGGAGCUCAUUCAGCUGUAUCAUGAGAAUCAGCAAAACAGUCAAACUGGGGCAUUGCAAAUGCAAUCAAAAGAAAAAAGAAAGAGGGUGAAAAAGAAAAAAAAUCAAAAAUCAGGAAAAAAAUUUCAAAUUUUUUUCAAAAGAAAAAAGAAAAAGUAUACCCUCAAGUCCCUAAGUUGACUGAUGCUGAAUGGAUUCAGAGUCGUUAUGACCAGCUGAAUUUGAUUGAAGAGAAGCGAU